CUCAUAUGUUGCAGAAAUUGUAAAAGAUUAUUGAACAAUUCUAAAGUUACAAGAACAAAGUUUUUUUCUUUUUCUUUGUUUUUUUAGCUUGGUUCCGGAGAAAUACUCUGUAUAUGAAAGUGGUACCACAAUGUACAAUUAGGUCAUAAAUUAAGGGGAAUUUGAUCCAAUACCCACCAAACUAGGUGGGUAAUGAAAUAUACCCCUUGCGUCUCAAUGCUUUUUUUCAUAUGCCCACCUAUUCCUAAUUUACCCUUAAUGAAAAUAAAAAAUUACCCCUGUUCUUUUGGAGUCCAAGCCGCCGGAAGAGAUCCCCGUACCUCUAUCCCUUGCUGCAAAUUAAGGACGUUCGAGCCCUCUGUGCAGACCCACAAUAACUGCUACCCACAACUUCAUUGAAGAGAUAGACCACAAUCUUCCAUCGAGUUUCGAUUCACCAACGUUCGUUUCUGUGCCUGGUCAACACGCCCGCUCUCCUCAACCCAUCCCCCAGUGCCGAAAACCUGAACCUCCACUCGUCUCUCCUCCUUGGAGAACUCUCCGAUAGCUGCGUAGCCAUUCUCUCACUUUUUUUUUCCUCUUUUCUUCGUGCUUUGUUAAGGGAAAAAUGAAAUAGCUUUUCAAUGUGUAUAUUUCGUUUUGAUAUUUGAAAAGGUAACUUAGAAAUAUUAAAAAUUAAAAAGGUAAAACAAAAAAAUUAAAAAAAGAUGGGUAGAUUUCAUUGAGGGUUUUCCAAAAAGGAUAUUGGGCCGAAUUUUCUAUAAAUUAAGGGAAAUUUAGUUCAAUACCAUUAUUUGAAACGUGUUAAUAAAAUCUAUCCAUUUUGAUUGAAUUUUUUUUGUUUUACUCUUUCAUUUCAUAUAUUUCCAAAUUAUCCUUUUCAAAUAUCAAAAAGGAAAAAUCAAACUCUAAACGGAGCAUGACGAAGAAGGAGAGGAAGAGAAAGUGAGAAAGAAUGGCAAAACGGCUUGGGAUGACCAAAGAGUUCUUCAAGAGGAGGGACGGAAGUCAAUAAUCAUGGUUUAGAUGGUUUCUUCCUUGUCGAAUCUAAGAUAAAAGUGUAGGGAUUCAAGCGUGGAACUGAAAGCCUAUCUAGGAAUUUGCAGGUGAUGUAUGCUUUGUCGCUGGACAAGUCAAAUCUGGCUGUUUCAAAAUAUCAGGCUGAGUGCAUGAAUGCUAAAGGAUUAGCAGAACCAAACCAUCAAACUCCAAAGAAGGAUCACAAUGAUAACUAGUGUACCUGCUGGAAGUGGCAAACUGAACUAUGGAGUGAGUGACUCCAAGGAAAAAUGUUGUAGAAGAUCUUCAUGGAUCACCAGCAUGACUUUUAGCAUAUGCAUACAGAAACAAAUUUCAUGAUAUGCUAAGGAUCUUAGUACUAAAAACAGUUUACAUGUACUAAAUCUUACUAGCUGGGGGUAUGUUAUAGCUUUAAUCUUAAGCUGGAUGUGUAUUUAGUUUAUCCACUUAAUCAUGCUAUAUAACAACUAUGCAAUGUUCUAUACAUGUUAUUAGUAGUCCUCUUGGUGACGGUGUGCUUUUAUAUUUUGCUUAUGCUAUCUUAGUAGUCCGUUGGAAAAAAUAUUAACAUAGAUGCAUUGAAGAAAUGUAUUAGUACAGUACAAUGGUCUCAUAUAUAUUAUGAAAUAAUUGCAAUAACAAUUAUGGAUAGGAUUGCCUAAAGGUGAUAUAUAAACCUAUUCUUUCAUCUUGUAUUUUAAUUGGUAAAAAAGUAAAUUUAUGUCCCUGUUUUUUAUUUCUUUCAUGCACAGACUAUAUAUAUAUGUAUAUAUUACAUGCAUCGGUAACAAUGAGUUAUAAUGUUUUUUCAAAGGAUAACUCAUGGGC
Long non-coding RNA from Ziziphus jujuba (common jujube), 1848 nucleotides. RefSeq lists it as uncharacterized. The record is from RefSeq and is a predicted model, not a curated record. Lineage: Eukaryota; Viridiplantae; Streptophyta; Magnoliopsida; Rosales; Rhamnaceae. The transcript is spliced from 3 exons.